This 73-nucleotide transfer RNA is filed under the name Stegodyphus dumicola. RNAcentral describes it as "tRNA-Thr". It matches the Rfam family "tRNA". From Rfam's summary of the family: Transfer RNA (tRNA) molecules are approximately 80 nucleotides in length. Their secondary structure includes four short double-helical elements and three loops (D, anti-codon, and T loops). The record is from RNAcentral. Lineage: Eukaryota; Metazoa; Arthropoda; Arachnida; Araneae; Eresidae.
GCCUUCGUGGUGUAGUGGUUAGCACGCUCGGCGCGUAUUCGAGAGGUCCGUGGUUCGAUUCCCGGCGAGGGCA